UGUUAAGAGAAUUGCUUUCCC
Molecule: non-coding RNA, 21 nt
Filed under: Caenorhabditis elegans
Lineage: Eukaryota; Metazoa; Nematoda; Chromadorea; Rhabditida; Rhabditidae
Source: RNAcentral